RNAcentral lists this ribosomal RNA (486 nucleotides) under uncultured bacterium. RNAcentral's name for it is "partial 16S ribosomal RNA". It matches the Rfam family "Bacterial small subunit ribosomal RNA", at positions 29 to 507 of the family's 1533-position model. The record is from RNAcentral.
AUUGAACGCUGGCGGCAUGCCUUACACAUGCAAGUCGAACGGCAGCACGGGUGCUUGCACCUGGUGGCGAUUGGGGAACGGGGGAGUAAUACAUCUGGAUAUGUCCCGUAUUGGGGGAUAGCCCGUCGAAAGCCCGAUUGAUACUACAGACGAAUUACGUAUAAAAGAGGGGGCCCUAGUGGCCGCGGGCUUUAGGGUUGGCCGUAGACGGAUUAGCGAGGUGGUGGGGUAACGGCCUACCAAGGCCACGACCAGUAGCCGGUCUGAGAGGGUGAUCAGCCACACUGGAACUGAGACACGGUCCAGACUCCGACGGGAGGCAGCAGUAGGGAAUCGUGCGCAAUGGGCGAAAGCCUGACGGAGCAACGCCGCGUGAGUGAAGAAGGUCUUCGGAUCGUAAAACGCUGUUAUUAGGGAAGAACAAAUGGAUAAGAAACUAGGCACGUCUUGACGGUACCUAAUCAGAAAGCCACGGCUAACUACGUG